RNAcentral lists this ribosomal RNA (443 nucleotides) under uncultured Saccharofermentans sp. Its description in RNAcentral is "bacterial SSU rRNA". It matches the Rfam family "Bacterial small subunit ribosomal RNA", at positions 338 to 795 of the family's 1533-position model. Lineage: Bacteria; Bacillati; Bacillota; Clostridia; Eubacteriales; Oscillospiraceae. The record is from RNAcentral.
CCUACGGGUGGCAGCAGUGGGGAAUAUUGGGCAAUGGGGGAAACCCUGACCCAGCAACGCCGCGUGAAGGACGAAGGCCUUCGGGUUGUAAACUUCUUUGAUCAGGGACGAAAGCAAUGACGGUACCUGAAGAACAAGCCACGGCUAACUACGUGCCAGCAGCCGCGGUAAUACGUAGGUGGCGAGCGUUAUCCGGAUUUACUGGGUGUAAAGGGCGUGUAGGCGGGUUUGCAAGUCGGGUGUGAAAGAUUCGGGCUUAACCCGGAGAGGUCAUCCGAAACUGCAGAUCUUGAGUGCUGGAGAGGAUAGUGGAAUUCCUGGUGUAGCGGUAAAAUGCGUAGAGAUCAGGAGGAACACCAGUGGCGAAGGCGGCUAUCUGGACAGUAACUGACGCUGAGGCGCGAAAGCGUGGGGAGCAAACAGGAUUAGAUACCCCAGUAGUC